GACGAACCGUACGAACGUUAUUCGGAAUCACUGGGCUUAAAGGGUGCGUAGGCGGCGCGACAAGUUGGGUGUGAAAUCCCUCGGCUCAACCGAGGAACUGCGCCCAAAACUGUCGUGCUCGAGGGAGACAGAGGUGAGCGGAACUUAGGGUGGAGCGGUGAAAUGCGUUGAUAUCCUAAGGAACACCGGUGGCGAAAGCGGCUCACUGGGUCUCUUCUGACGCUGAGGCCCGAAAGCUAGGGUAGCGAACGGG
Molecule: ribosomal RNA, 253 nt
Filed under: uncultured bacterium
Lineage: Bacteria
Description: partial 16S ribosomal RNA
Rfam family: Bacterial small subunit ribosomal RNA
Source: RNAcentral